GAUGAACGCUGGCGGCGUGCCUAAUACAUGCAAGUCGAGCGAACGGACGAGAAGCUUGCUUCUCUGAUGUUAGCGGCGGACGGGUGAGUAACACGUGGAUAACCUACCUAUAAGACUGGGAUAACUUCGGGAAACCGGAGCUAAUACCGGAUAAUAUUUUGAACCGCAUGGUUCAAAAGUGAAAGACGGUCUUGCUGUCACUUAUAGAUGGAUCCGCGCUGCAUUAGCUAGUUGGUAAGGUAACGGCUUACCAAGGCAACGAUGCAUAGCCGACCUGAGAGGGUGAUCGGCCACACGGGAACUGAGACACGGCCCAGACUCCUACGGGAGGCAGCAGUAGGGAAUCUUACGCAAGGGGCGAAAGCCUGACGGAGCAACGCCGCGUGAGUGAUGAAGGUCUUCGGAUCGUAAAACUCUGUUAUUAGGGAAGAACAUAUGUGUAAGUAACUGUGCACAUCUUGACGGUACCUAAUCAGAAAGCCACGGCUAACUACGUG
RNAcentral lists this ribosomal RNA (497 nucleotides) under uncultured bacterium. Its description in RNAcentral is "partial 16S ribosomal RNA". It matches the Rfam family "Bacterial small subunit ribosomal RNA", at positions 28 to 507 of the family's 1533-position model. The record is from RNAcentral.